Molecule: ribosomal RNA, 388 nt
Filed under: uncultured bacterium
Lineage: Bacteria
Description: bacterial SSU rRNA
Rfam family: Bacterial small subunit ribosomal RNA
Source: RNAcentral
CAAGGCUUGACAUGACGGAAGUAAUGAUCCGAAAGGGGAAUGACCUGUUAAGCCAGGAGCCGUCACAGGUGCUGCAUGGCUGUCGUCAGCUCGUGCCGUGAGGUGUUUGGUUAAGUCCUGUAACGAGCGCAACCCUCAUUGCCAGUUGUAUUCUCUGGCGAGACUGCCCCGCAAAAUGGGGAGGAAGGUGGGGAUGACGUCAAGUCAGCACGGCCCUUAUGUCUUGGGCUACACACACGCUACAAUGGGUGGUACAAAGGGUAGCAAUAGAGUGAUCUGGAGCUAAUCCUAAAAACUAUCCUCAGUUCAGAUUGCAGGCUGAAACCCGCCUGCAUGAAGUCGGAGUUGCUAGUAACCGCAGGUCAGAAUACUGCGGUGAAUACGUUCU